RNAcentral lists this unclassified non-coding RNA (391 nucleotides) under soil metagenome. RNAcentral's name for it is "partial contains 5.8S ribosomal RNA, internal transcribed spacer 2, and large subunit ribosomal RNA". The stretch from base 1 to 122 matches the Rfam family "5.8S ribosomal RNA", at positions 35 to 154 of the family's 154-position model. The record is from RNAcentral.
GAUGAAGAACGUAGCGAAAUGCGAUACUUGGUGUGAAUUGCAGAAUCCCGUGAACCAUCGAGUCUUUGAACGCAAGUUGCGCCCGAAGCCAUUAGGCCGAGGGCACGCCUGCCUGGGCGUCACACGUCGUUGCCCCCCCAUCUACUCCUUCGGGAUUGCGGGGGGCGGAUGAUGGCCUCCCGUGCGCCUCGCCGCGCGGUUGGCAUAAAUGCCAAGUCCUCGGGGACGCACGCCACGACAAUCGGUGGUUGCGAAACCUCGGUUGCCCGUCGUGUGCGGUCGUCGCGCAUCGAGGGCUCGAAAAAAUUGCCGGGUUCCGGCUCGGCUUUCAACGCGACCCCAGGUCAGGCGGGGUUACCCGCUGAAUUUAAGCAUAUCAAUAAGCGGAGGA